CAGUACCUAACGUAACGUCCGUUCAUUUAAAAAGCCUUCAGGUGCUGCUGUCGUCCCAUUGAGGGAACCGACGUUAUCUGUCAGCGUAAAGAAAUUACCGUUAUUUGCGUUCAAACACAGGUGGCUAUGUAAAAAAAAAAAGUCAGGGUUUCUUUUAUAAAAAGAAGAUGGAAUUUGAGACGACGGAGACCGCACGCUCGACACAGAGUCGUCACGAGAAAAGUUUGGGGCUCCUCACCAUUAAGUUUGUCAGCCUGCUACAAGAAGCCAAGGACGGCGUCCUUGAUUUGAAAGUGGCUGCAGACAGCUUGGCAGUGAAGCAGAAGAGGAGGAUAUAUGAUAUCACCAAUGUACUGGAAGGUGUGGGGCUGAUUGAGAAGAAAAACAAGAAUAUAAUCCAGUGGAGGGGUGAGAACAUAGGCAGCCAAACUGAGGAGGGGCUUGAGCAGGUAAAAGUUUUAAAGGCCCAAAUUGCUGAGCUGGAGGCCCAAGAGAAAGAGCUGGACAACCAGAAGGCCUGGCUGGAGGAGAACAUCAAACACCUGAACCAUGAUCCCAUUACCAGCACUUAUAAAUUUGUGACACAUGAAGACAUCUGCAGUGCUUUUAGUGGAGAAACCCUUCUAGCUAUUGUGGCUCCUGCUGGGACUCAGCUGGAGGUGCCGCUGCCAGAAAUGGGUCAGAGUGGUCAAAAGAAGUACCAGGUGAACCUGCGCAGCCACUGUGCUCCCAUCCAGGUCAUGCUAAUCAACAGAGAUUCAGACUCCAGACUACCUGUGGUCUUUUCUGUGCCACCCACCAAUGACAUCUCUCAGAUACCAACUCCACCCAGCACUCCCGCCAGCCAGCAGAGAUUCCCCCUUUCAAAUUCCACUUCCAACAUCACCACGACCUCCUUCUACUGCAGCCAGGAGUCUCUCUGCUCAGACCAGCAGAUGGUGCUGCCAGAGCAUGAUGAUGUGCUGACCCCAUCAGCCACCCCUCCUGACAUGCAAAUGGUGUGUCACAGUCGAUCAGCAUUAGAACAGCAGCAGAUGGACUUGGUGGACCAAGAGUUCCAGUCUGUCCUGGAUGUGAACAGCCUGCUAAAAUUUAGCACUGCUGGAGACCACAUGAAGGAUGACAGAGAGGGAGCUGUUGACCUGAUUGAUGAACUCAUGUCUGCUGAUGGCCUGAAGCAUCACUUAUAAGUCUGUUUUAGCUACUGGAGGUCAAACAGAAAACAGAUGAUUAACAGAUGAUCUACAAGACUAAAAGUGCAGAAUUAAUGCGAACAUGCUGAUGCUUACCAGGUAUAGACUACAGCUUCAACCUGGACAACAAUGAGGGAGUGUGUGACCUGUUUGACGUACAGAUCCUCAAUUACUAAUGGCUGACGAUGACUCUAAGACUUUGAGAAGCACUUUUUGCCUCGUUAAAACCAGAUUGUCCCAUUGUGUUAAAAUUACACAGCUGAUACUUUGAUGUACCACUGUCAGCUUUAAAAAAAAAACAAAAAACUUUACUACCAUUGCCAGCAAAAGAAAGUGCCUGAAUUAAUGAAUCUUAAGGUAUUUACAAAGUCAUGAGCCAUGAUGUCUCAAGUAAGCAGAGACGAAUCCUUCAGAUUCCUGCUGCACUUUUGUAUCUUUGCAUUUUUCCAUGUCCAAUGGAAAGCCUGAAACUUGAACACGACUGUUUACUUUGCGCAGCUCAUCAGCAUUUGGGACUGUAACAGUUCUGUAACAGUGUGUUGAACUUUACAGUAACUUGUAACUUUUCAGUAUUCGCUUCUUUGAUGAUCCAGUUCAAGGAGUGUAAGUUGUUUUCAUGCAGUGCACCUUCACCUAACCAAUUUUCCAGUUAGAUUUCAACCACCAUUUUGUAUUUAUGAAUGAAUGUUUUGGAUACACUUUGUUCACCUUGUUUCUGGGGAAAAAAUGCCAGAAAAAUGUAUUUUCUAAAUUAUUGUGAUACUGACAUUUUAGGCCUUGGUUUAUCCUGUCAUUAGUUAAAUAAUUUAAUAUUUUUACUUGAUGGAAAAGAACUUUAGUUCAGGAUGGUUGAAACUGAAGUUAGUUGACUGCCUUAAUCAUUUAAUUAGUAUAAUUUUCUGUAUUUCUGUUCUAAAAAUAAGGUUGGUGAGUAGCAUUUUUUUUUUUGUAUAUUUCAUAUUUUUCUUUUUUUUUUUUUUUAUACUAAAUCUUGUUUAUGUUCUAGUUCUAUUUGCAAAAGAAAUGUAUAGAAGGAAAACAACCAAAAAUCAUUCCAAUGUGAACUUUCAGUCUGAAGGGAGUUGUCACGAUUGUCUCGAAUCACACAGAAGGUAUGCAACAGUUAACCCCC
RNA transcript from Archocentrus centrarchus (flier cichlid), 2325 nucleotides. It is a transcript of the gene named E2F transcription factor 5, with no coding region annotated. Lineage: Eukaryota; Metazoa; Chordata; Actinopteri; Cichliformes; Cichlidae. The record is from RefSeq and is a predicted model, not a curated record. The transcript has 9 exons.